GAUUCAUAGUCAAAAGGGCAACAGCCCAGAUCGUCAGCUAAGGUCCCUAAAUGUACGUUAAGUGGUAAAGGAUGUGGGAUUGCACAGACAACCAGGAUGUUGGCUUAGAAGCAGCCACUCAUUUAAAGAGUGCGUAAUAGCUCACUGGUCGAGUGAUCCUGCGCCGAAAAUUUCCGGGGCUAAAACGUACUACCGAAGCUACGGCAUCAUUUAUGAUGGGUAGGGGAGCUUCGUAUGCAGGCUGAAGCAUGACCGUAAGGACAUGUGGACAGUAUACGAGUGAGAAUGUUGGCAUGAGUAGCGAGACGUGGGUGAGAAUCCCACGGGCCGUAAACCCAAGGUUUCCAGGGGAAGGUUCGUCCGCCCUGGGUUAGUCGGGACCUAAGCCGAGGCCGAAAGGCGUAGGUGAUGGACAACAGGUUGAUAUUCCUGUACCGCCAAUAAGCGUUUGAGAGAUGGAGUGACACAGUAGGAUAAGCUAACCGUACUGUUGGUUAUGUACGGCUAAGCAUUGAGGCAGUCUAAAUAGGCAAAUCCGUUUAGACAAUGCUAGGAUGUGAUGGGGAAGCCCUUCGGGGCGAAGUAGCUGAUUUCACACUGUCAAGAAAAGCUUCUAUCGAGUUUAAAGGCGCCCGUACCGUAAACCGACACAGGUGGGUGAGGAGAGUAUCCUAAGGCCAGCGAGAGAACUAUUGUUAAGGAACUCGGCAAAAUGACCCCGUAACUUAGGGAGAAGGGGUGCCUGUCUAUGACAGGCCGCAGAGAAUAGGCCCAAGCGACUGUUUACCAAAAACACAGGUUUCUGCUAAGUCGCAAGACGAUGUAUAGGAGCUGACGCCUGCCCGGUGCUGGAAGGUUAAGGGGAUCUGUUAGAGCAAUCGAAGCAGUGAACUUAAGCCCCAGUAAACGGCGGCCGUAACUAUAACGGUCCUAAGGUAGCGAAAUUCCUUGUCGGGUAAGUUCCGACCCGCACGAAAGGCGUAACGAUUUGGGCACUGUCUCAACAAUAGACUCGGUGAAAUUGUAAUCCCGGUGAAGAUGCCGGGUACCUGCGACAGGACGGAAAGACCCCAUGGAGCUUUACUGUAGCUUGACGUUGGGUCUUGGUACUACAUGUACAGGAUAGGUGGGAGACUAUGAAGCAUGGACGCCAGUCUGUGUGGAGUCAUCCUUGGGAUACCACCCUUGUAGUACUGGGAUCCUAACCAUAGGCCUUGAAUCAGGUCUUGGAACACCGUCAGGUGGGCAGUUUGACUGGGGCGGUCGCCUCCUAAAAAGUAACGGAGGCGCUCAAAGGUUUCCUCAGCACGGUCGGAAAUCGUGCGAAGAGUGUAAAGGCAAAAGGAAGCUUGAUUGCAAGACAUACAGGUCGAGCAAGGACGAAAGUCGGACUUAGUGAUCCGGUGGUACCGCAUGGAAGGGCCAUCGCUCAACGGAUAAAAGCUACCCUGGGGAUAACAGGCUUAUCUCCCCCAAGAGUCCACAUCGACGGGGAGGUUUGGCACCUCGAUGUCGGCUCAUCACAUCCUGGGGCUGUAGUAGGUCCCAAGGGUUGGGCUGUUCGCCCAUUAAAGUGGUACGCGAGCUGGGUUCAGAACGUCGUGAGACAGUUCGGUCCCUAUCCGUCGCAGGCGUAGGAAAUUUGAGAAGACCUGUCCUUAGUACGAGAGGACCGGGAUGGACGUACCUCUGGUGUACCAGUUGUUCUGCCAAGGGCAUGGCUGGGUAGCUAUGUACGGAAUGGAUAAGCGCUGAAAGCAUCUAAGCGCGAAGCCAACUUCAAGAUAAGAUUUCCCACCGUAAGGGUAAGACCCCAGGAAGACUACCUGGUUGAUAGGUCGAAGGUGUAAGUGCAGUAAUGUAUUUAGCUUAUCGAUACUAAUAGGUCGAGGACUUGACCAA
Molecule: ribosomal RNA, 1902 nt
Filed under: human gut metagenome
Description: bacterial LSU rRNA
Rfam family: Bacterial large subunit ribosomal RNA
Source: RNAcentral